UACGUAGGGUGCAAGCGUUGUCCGGAAUUAUUGGGCGUAAAGAGCUCGUAGGCGGUUUGUCGCGUCGGCUGUGAAAACCUGGGGCUCAACCCCGGGCCUGCAGCCGAUACGGGCAAACUAGAAUUCGGUAGGGGAGACUGGAAUUCCUGGUGUAGCGGUGAAAUGCGCAGAUAUCAGGAGGAACACCGAUGGCGAAGGCAGGUCUCUGGGCCGAUACUGACGCUGAGGAGCGAAAGCGUGGGGAGCGAACAGG
RNAcentral lists this ribosomal RNA (253 nucleotides) under uncultured bacterium. RNAcentral describes it as "partial 16S ribosomal RNA". It matches the Rfam family "Bacterial small subunit ribosomal RNA", at positions 524 to 776 of the family's 1533-position model. The record is from RNAcentral.